This 342-nucleotide ribosomal RNA is filed under the name uncultured bacterium. RNAcentral's name for it is "bacterial SSU rRNA". It matches the Rfam family "Bacterial small subunit ribosomal RNA", at positions 569 to 913 of the family's 1533-position model. The record is from RNAcentral.
GCGUAGGCGGAAUGAUAAGUCAGUGGUGAAAGCCUGCAGCUUAACUGCAGAACUGCCAUUGAUACUGUCAAUCUUGAGUACAUUUGAUGUGGGCGGAAUGUGUCAUGUAGCGGUGAAAUGCUUAGAUAUGACACAGAACACCGAUUGCGAAGGCAGCUCACAAAACUGUAACUGACGCUGAGGCACGAAAGCGUGGGUAUCAAACAGGAUUGGAUACCCUGGUAGUCCACGCUGUAAACUAUGAUUACUCGAUGUUUGCGAUACACUGUAAGCGUCUAAGCGAAAGCGAUAAGUAAUCCACCUGGGGAGUACGCUCGCAAGAGUGAAACUCAAAGGAAUUGA